This 5078-nucleotide long non-coding RNA is filed under the name Bemisia tabaci. RNAcentral's name for it is "lncRNA ENSASIAIIG008306". The record is from RNAcentral. Lineage: Eukaryota; Metazoa; Arthropoda; Insecta; Hemiptera; Aleyrodidae.
CCUUUGAAUUUUGGCGCUUUAAUUUUCCAAAACUAGCGGGAAUUUGAUAGCCAAUCAAAGGACAAUUUCGAGAAUUUGUUCUUAGCCAAUCAGGGAAGAGCGUUGUAUUGUGUGUAAACAAACAGUAAACAUAACCUCAUUUAUAAAAGGGAAACGGCAGGAAACGGUAAAAAAGUUCUAAACUAGUAAGUAUGUGGACAUCGUAGAUUAAUUUGAUACGGUACAGCUAAAUGCAUUAUCGUAAAAACAUGACCUACGAAACUUGAUCCACUUGUUUUGCGUACGCUAGUUUGGAAUCAAUUUCCCCAAGUUUCAUUCAAGCAUAGUGUUGUUGGUGUGACCUUUGUAUCCCUACCUACAUCCUCAACGAAUAACAUGUCAAAAUCGAAAGACUCAGCUCUAAAAUUCUUCCCUUCAAAGAAUGUGAGACCACUCUCUGGGGUUCUUGCUGCAAGAACAGUGACCAUUCCCCGAAGCAAAGGAAUGAGUUCACAUUAAGUUCUCAGGUUCAAAAUACAAAAACAGAAACUUCCUCAAAGGCUGAACAAGAUGUGUCUGAUGCUGCUCUUAAUGACAGGCUCAUAGAGGAUUCAGAGUUUCUGCUCCGAGCCACUUUAUUCUUACAAACCGCUGAAGAGCAGUUAAGUAGUAUCGAAUCUUCCUUGAAGCGCCCGAUGUAUCCAAGGAACUUACUUGGUCUGAACUUGGAGAAUUGUGAGGACAAAAAAUACGCCAAAGAAAUUAUAGGAGCUAUUUUAAGCGGUCAUAACUUGAAGCGAGAGGAUUUUUUUUCUAUACCCACUCGCCUGCAGCGACAGUCGGUCUCUGACAAACCACUAGAAGCACUUAAAGAAAACAGUCUGAAGCCUGAAUCUAAACUCAGUAGUAUCAAUAGAAAAAAAGUACGACAAUCCUCUGAAAAUAAAGUUGCAAGUUCUCAAAAGGAAUUGCACAAAUUUCUCAGAAUUAGUGGACAAGAAAACCUUAGUAGACAUCGAACUACUGACAAAGUGUCGCAGACAUCAAGCUCAACAGAGAUUAAUUUUCCAUCUCAAAGUACAAUUCCUGAGGACAGUAGGUCAGAAGCAAGUGAAAAGAGUCAACUGAUAGACAAGCCAAGGAAAAGCAAAGAGUAUUUUAUUUCUGGUGAAGCAAAGCAUGAGUAUCCUAUGCCGUAUCAAGUGACUAGAAAAAAAAUGACGAUAGAAGACGUUCCCAUCUGUGUCACCACUGACCUAAAAACACCUAACAAUGCAGCAUUGAUAAAUAUUCUCAGUAAUACCACUGAACCAGAAGAUGACAAUCCUACAAAAUCUAAACUUGCUAAAAAUUCCUUGAAAAUACAAGCAAUGCCAUCAAUAAAUAUUAAACCAGCAUUAAUCCAAGAAACUUUCACACAAGUUGAUAUUCAGCCGUGUAAAAGUUUACAAAAAGAGUUCGCUACCAAUAAAAAUGUAUCAUUCAUCGAAAUGGUGCACGAUGAAAAUAGCAAAAUAAUCAGGAAAGGAACUCCUUUUUCUGGAAAUACUUAUAUGGACGGAUUGAACAGAAAGCCAAAUUUAAACGCCGAAAGAUUGGUUCCAUUUAGAGAGACCAACUUGGAACAUGUUCCAAGGCAGGAGUGUGUCCCUAAGCAAGAACCUUUGUUGGUAAAAAAACACAAAAUUUUUAGGCGAGAAAGACUUGAUCAGAUCCUGAAUACUAUCACAGACAAGCUGACGGCUCAAAUUGAAAUCCCUGAUGAAAUUUUAGAGAACGCAAUUGAUCGAUUGUGGGUUUUGGGAGAUUAUCUUGAGGACAUGUACACAAACUCUGCAGGGAAUUUUCAUCAAAAAGUGCGCCUCAAUUUUACCUCAUUAUGGCUUCACGAAAUAGUUCGGUUAAUUGAUAUUGAAAUGAAAAGGAAACCGGACUCACUGAACACUGGGAUUCCAACUAUUGUCCAGUAUAUCAUUUCAGAAAUUCAAUGUGAAAGUGCAAUCAAUUAUCAGCAGUCUUGUAUUAUAGCAGAAGAGAAUGAUGAAAUUAGAUUUUACUGUGAGCAUGAUUCUCCUCUCAAUCUACAAUACAAGCACAAGCUUGGGAAUCAAUCAGUAUCAUUUCGGACGUCUUCCAGAAACAGUCCUCAGACUAGCAAUAGACCUCUCAUAAAUAGUCUUGCCUCAAAAGCAAAAGAACACCCAGAGAGUAAAAAAUCUCACAAUUUCCUUCUUAAAGAUUUUCAAGAGCCAAACAAAGCUGAUAGUGAACAUGUAGGGGCAAAUUUAAUUCCACCAAUUCUCAGUUCAAGCAGAAGCAAACUGACUUCAAAAACCGUACAUGGUCUCUCAAGCAAACGAAAUCUAGAAAAUUGUAUCAAAGUCGGAAGUCAGGACCAUUCUGUGCCAGAAAAAUUAGUCACCUCCAAAAUAAAAAAUACCGAUGGAAAAGAAACCACCUCCAAAAAUAACUUGAGCUAUCAAGAGACAAAUAAGUUUAUGAAUGCUGAUCAGCGUCAAAAAGUCAUUCAGAAGUUGGGUGCCGAAGUCAAAAAAAUGUUGAGUUGGCAUGAGCAAAUACAGCCUCGCAAAGACAUCAUUAGGCUGCCAAACCAUUCUGUUUCUCGCAAUGCUUGUAUAAGUGCAAGUGUUACUACUCCACCAAAAACUGCACCACCUGUAACAAUCCCUCCUCUUAUUUUACCCUCCAAGGAUGAAAUACACAAUGUAGAAAGUUGUAAUGAGGUAAUCGGUGCUGAGACAAAUUUUCAAGAAAUGGUGAAAGGGAUUGACUUCAAAGUUGCCUCUUCUUCAAGUGCCUCAUCAAAGUCUACUGUAACUGAUCAGGUCUCUCCAGCCAUCGCAAGCGGAGAAGUUGCCUAUGAUGAUGACUGGGAAGAGGAUUCCAACACUCCUUCUAAUACAAGUGGCUCCCAAAAUUCCUGCCACAAGAGAGAAAAUGGUAGCUCUGAGUCAAUGAAUUUUAAACCUGAAAAACCUGAACCUGUCAAAGGAAGAGAGGACAAGCAAGAUAAGCAAAAAAGAAACGAUGAAAUCUCUGAGAUAAACAGUAGCAACUCUACUCUACACGCUGAAAAAUCAAAGGUUUCGAAAGUCGAUUAUGAUAUAACCGCAAAGAGUCCUGAAAUAAAUUCAUCAACACCUGAGGCUGUUCAACUUCAAAGCGUAAAAUCUUCCCAGAAAUCACCAAACUAUGCUUUGCAAGAAGGCUACUCUAAUAACUCCCAUCCAAUUAAAACUUCAGUGUCAUCUGAAACUGACAUUGCAAGUGAUUUCGGUGAUCAAGAAAUCAGCAUUUUAAACACAAAAUCAGAUAAUGCUCAGAAUUCUGAUUCAGUCGGAAGAAAGUCUUGCGUCCCAUCCGAGGCUGAAACAGUGAAAGAUUUGAGCCAGCUUAGCAGUGAGGUGGCGGCUCCUCAGUCUAUGAGUCUACAUUUUCAGGAAAAUUCUUACAAAGAAAAUGACUCAGGGAUUGUCCAACAGUCACUAGAAUACAACCUAGCUAGCAGAAAGGAUGAUCUUCUUGACCAGGGAAAAAGGCCAGAAAUAGAAAAUUAUGAGCAGCCCAUGAAUGGCAGUUUGGCAUCCAUGAAACUGUCCAAAAGUUGCCAAGCGUUGGCUGAAAAUGUCUUGCGGGUAGAGGAAAUGAAGAAUGACCUUUUGAGAGCUUUUAUUAAAUCGGGAAAAGGAUCGGCACCUAUAGUUUCUUAUGCGCGAUCGUCACCAGACCUGGCAAGAAAACCUAGCAGCAAGUGGAAGAAUUCGAGACCAAAUUCGGCCCCUGAGUAUGAAUCUAUCAAUAUAGACAUGUGUGUUAUUAAAACAAUUAGUGUAGCAUCUGAAAAUUUACCCUGUGAAGAAGUAAAAAAAUGUGAAAAUGCAGUUCAGUCAAGAGCUGAUAUUUCUGAAAGAAGACCGGGGAAGGUAUCUCACACUGCUUUGCAAGCCAAAGAUUUAAAGCAGGCUUUCAGUGACCUAUCAUUUGAGCCAAGUGUUAAUGAAUUAAGUGCCCCGUCUCACAUUAAAAAACCGAUAGAGGCACUUUCGCGGCAUGAAAAUUUACAAAUGGACCAGACUUGUAGCAAUUUUUCUUCCAAGUCUAGCUGUCAUGUUUCAGGCACUAAGCUCAGUGCGCAGACACAUGUGGCACAUACUGAUUUAGCAAUACCCAGGCCUUUUUGUGAUUUAACAUCGAAGUCUAGCGCAAAUAUAUCACACACCGAACUUGUUGAAGAACUGUCAAAAGCAUGUUUUUUGCAAAAUGAUUUAGAAUGUAAGAACGUUUUUAGCGAUGUAUCAUCUAAGUCUAAUCGUAGUGUUUACGAUUUUGAAAAUGUUGUUCCAACCCCAUCAAAGGUGUCUUUGAGGAAGAAAGAUUUUGAAACAAACCAGGUUUUCAGUGAUUUAUCAUCCAAGUCUAGUGUAAGCUCAGUAGUCUCUGAGCCUGGCACUCAAAGCUCAGCAGAAGCUUCAUCAGCAUCUGAUGGCGUGCAGCCAGUUUUUGUUUCAAAAACAGCAAGUGAAAAAAGACAUUUAGAAGUCAUUGAUGAUAAGGAAGAAGUUAGCGAGAAUGAGACUUCUAGUGAUUUGAAUAUUGUCGAGAUGAAAGGAAACAACAUUGCUCAAUCGUUUGUCGAGCUCUCUAAUGAGAUCUUGAAACAUUUAAAAUUAGAAAGUGAGCUUUUAAUGCAACUUCAUCCUUCUGAUCAUGAUUCAGAUGCUAACAGCUCAGUGAAAUGGUCAGAAAAUGUAAUUCCAAAAAUUUCAAGAACUAAUCUGAAUUCUUCAGAAACUACGUCAAGUCAUUCAGAACUGGAAGUCGAUCAAGAUGACAUUGGGUUUUUGAGUUCAGAAGCGUCUGCAGAUUUUGAAUGCCUCAUGUCACAACUCUCUGAAAAUGUCAGGGAAUCCGUAGAGAGCAUGGAUGAGCUCCUAGGGGAUAGCGCUGAAGAAAUAUUAAGUGUUCUUUCAUCGGAACGAUUUAGAGUUGAUUGUUCCCAAGGAUUAGACGCCUCAAUUAAAGACAUUUUGUACAGUGAUGUUGUUGAUCCAAGCAAUUUUGUAUUGGAACGUUUUUAA